Non-coding RNA from Salvelinus sp. IW2-2015, 395 nucleotides. The record is from the annotation of a RefSeq genome assembly. NCBI's taxonomy places the organism in Eukaryota, Metazoa, Chordata, Actinopteri, Salmoniformes, Salmonidae.
GUUGUCUUGUGUGGAGCAGCUGAGUUCAUAUCUCCACCCUCAGUAUGACGGGAAAACUCUACCUUCUGCUGCUCUCUCUCUGUCUGCCGUGUUUAAAUGGACAGAGUCUGGAGUCCAGUYCCUCCAGUUCAGUCCUGAAAAAGCUUGGAGAAACUAUAAGUCUCUCCUGUAAGAUAUCUGGAUUCACCUUUGGCAGCCACAACACACACUGGCUACGACAGCCAGCUGGAAAGUCCCUGGAAUGGAUGGGUUACUCUGGAUUAGGCCUAGGUAACCAUGCUAAAAGGUUUGAAGGACGCAUGGAAACRACUAAAGAUAAUUCCAACAGCAUGAUGACUCUGAAGCUGUCUGGUCUGAAAGCAGAGGACUCKGCUGUGUAUUACUGUGCACGAGAG